UAGGGAAUCUUCCACAAUGGACGAAAGUCUGAUGGAGCAACACCGCGUGAGUGAAGAAGGGUUUCGGCUCGUAAAGCUCUGUUGUUAAAGAAGAACACGUAUGAGAGUAACUGUUCAUACGUUGACGGUAUUUAACCAGAAAGUCACGGCUAACUACGUGCCUG
This 164-nucleotide ribosomal RNA is filed under the name uncultured bacterium. RNAcentral describes it as "partial 16S ribosomal RNA". It matches the Rfam family "Bacterial small subunit ribosomal RNA", at positions 355 to 511 of the family's 1533-position model. The record is from RNAcentral.